Molecule: non-coding RNA, 114 nt
Organism: Flavobacterium frigoris
Lineage: Bacteria; Pseudomonadati; Bacteroidota; Flavobacteriia; Flavobacteriales; Flavobacteriaceae
Source: Rfam
UUAAUACCGCGUGAGGGAUAGCAGUGAAAAUCCUUUUUCGUCAGUUCGAGUUUCCGCUUUUUAGCGGAAGUAUCGAGAACAAGAAAAAGAUUGUAACGAAUAGCCCGACCCUUG